UCCUGUUAACUCUUAAUAAACUUACACAUGCAAGCAUCUACACCCCAGUGAGAAUGCCCUCUAGGUUAUUAAAACUAAGAGGAGCUGGCAUCAAGCACACACCCUGUAGCUCACGACGCCUUGCUUAACCACACCCCCACGGGAAACAGCAGUUGACAAAAAUUAAGCCAUAAACGAAAGUUUGACUAAGUUAUAUUAAUUAGGGUUGGUAAAUCUCGUGCCAGCCACCGCGGUCAUACGAUUAACCCAAGCUAACAGGAGUACGGCGUAAAACGUGUUAAAGCACCAUACCAAAUAGGGUUAAAUUCUAACUAAGCUGUAACAAGCCAUGAUUAAAAUAAAAAUAAAUGACGAAAGUGACCCUACAAUAGCCGACGCACUAUAGCUAGACCCAAACUGGGAUUAGAUACCCCACUAUGCUUAGCCCUAAACACAGAUAUUACAUAAACAAAAUUAUUCGCCAGA
This 465-nucleotide ribosomal RNA is filed under the name Bos taurus (domestic cattle). RNAcentral describes it as "similar to 12S ribosomal RNA". The record is from RNAcentral. Lineage: Eukaryota; Metazoa; Chordata; Mammalia; Artiodactyla; Bovidae.